GUGGGGAAUAUUGGACAAUNGGGGCAACCCUGAUCCAGCCAUGCCGCGUGUGUGAAGAAGGCUUUCGGGUUGUAAAGCACUUUCAGUGAGGAGGAAAACCUUACGAUUAAUACUCGUGAGGCUUGACGUUACUCACAGAAGAAGCACCGGCUAACUCCGUGCCAGCAGCCGCGGUAAUACGGAGGGUGCAAGCGUUAAUCGGAAUUACUGGGCGUAAAGCGCGCGUAGGUGGUUUGAUAAGCGAGAUGUGAAAGCCCCGGGCUUAACCUGGGAACGGCAUUUCGAACUGUCAGGCUAGAGUGUGGUAGAGGGUAGUGGAAUUUCCUGUGUAGCGGUGAA
Molecule: ribosomal RNA, 339 nt
Filed under: Marinobacter sp. AAO-1
Lineage: Bacteria; Pseudomonadati; Pseudomonadota; Gammaproteobacteria; Pseudomonadales; Marinobacteraceae
Description: bacterial SSU rRNA
Rfam family: Bacterial small subunit ribosomal RNA
Source: RNAcentral